This is a long non-coding RNA of Aethina tumida (small hive beetle), 365 nucleotides long. RefSeq lists it as uncharacterized. The record is from RefSeq and is a predicted model, not a curated record. The transcript has 3 exons. Lineage: Eukaryota; Metazoa; Arthropoda; Insecta; Coleoptera; Nitidulidae.
AGUAUGCUGCCCAUGAACGACUAUGUUUGGAAUAUUUGGAAGAGAACUACUGAGGUGUUUAAGUAGAAUGUGCUACAACCACCAUUUUUAUUAGACAAUGAGAAAUAAAACUUUUGGGAGAUAAUCAACCAUUUCUGGACUCUGCUGGGUUGUCUAUGGAGUUUCUAACAAACUGAGUGAUUAUAAAAAAGAUUCCCUUGUGUGUUUAUAAUAACUCAAAAAACGAAGAAAGCCUUCAGUCUACAAUAAUAGUAAAUUUCCUGCAAGUAAAUCAUAGUUUUUCUAUGAACCAAAGACCUAAUUUCCUUUCGAAAAGCUUUUCUCUCGUUUUACUGACAAAGAACAUAGAAUGAGAAACAAUGAUA